AUGCUCAGUUUGGCAACACAUGUACUAGAACUGGAACGAAGCAGAGGAAAGGAGCAUGGCCUCUAUGCAAGGAUGACACGCAAAUUCGUGCAGUGUUCCAUAUCAUU
Molecule: small nuclear RNA, 107 nt
Filed under: Procavia capensis (Cape rock hyrax)
Lineage: Eukaryota; Metazoa; Chordata; Mammalia; Hyracoidea; Procaviidae
Source: RNAcentral